This is a long non-coding RNA of Calidris pugnax (ruff), 1095 nucleotides long. RefSeq lists it as uncharacterized. Lineage: Eukaryota; Metazoa; Chordata; Aves; Charadriiformes; Scolopacidae. The record is from RefSeq and is a predicted model, not a curated record. The transcript has 3 exons.
CAGGAAAGGUGCUCCAGCCCUCUGAUCAUCUUCAUAAUCUAACUUUGAAGUUAGCCCUGCUUGGAGCAAACUGGAGAGGCUGGACUAGAUGGCCUUCAGAAGUCCUCUCCAACCUAAAUUAUUCUGCUGGAUGACAUACAAAAAUCAAUGGCUUUUGCAAAGAUACCAUGAUGUUGUCUGGAGCAGAGUUUGGUCUCUCACUGCCCUUCUUCGACUGUGCCGGCUGCCUGAAGCAGAAGCUAUGUUAUGAAGAGCAAUUUAUUUAUGCAACUUGCUACUGAAAAGAGAUCUCUUGAUGUGAUGCAAUUGUGGCUCAUGGAGUCUUACUUCAAUAACUUUCUGGAGUGAACAGUCCAGUGCCAAAUAACGUGCAUGGAGAUCUACCAAUUCAAGGAAUCUAGGGUCCUAAGUAAUCCUGAAUUCAGAAACGGGAAAGUUGUGAGAGUGACAACUUCAACUGUGCUGGAAUUAGUAGGUGUUUGUGAUCUUUCAUCAGAGGUACACGAGGAGAAGUGGAAGUGGUGUGCACCAACUCUUUUAUGGAACAAAAAGUCUUUUAUUUUCUUGUAACAAUUUAUCUUUUUAGUUUCUGUCUCUUCUGCAUUCUUUCUUUUGAUGACUUCAGAGAUGGAGGAUGACACUUAGAUGGGAAGAGAAAAGUCCACUUCUUUCAGCAAGCAGGCUAUCUUGCCUACUUCCUUCCUCCCUACAUGUACCACGCUGAUGUCACGCUGCUUCAGGUUGCUGAAGAGAAUUUCCCUAGCAACUGUGGAGAAGUGUUAUUUAGAUUAAUUUUCUUUCAUUUCCCCACAAUAGUUUGGUGAGUGAUUGGAACAGCAAGCCCUAAACUGUCCAGUUGGCUUUUUGUUUGUUUUCUUUCCUUUUGCACACACCAGAAAAAUGGCAUCAGAGAUGUACAGUGUGCGAGGUUUUUGUGCUUGUAUACUAACAUACACGUACAACUACGCAUAUGAACAUUGCUGCUACCCUGUUGAUUUUACGCUGCAGAGUGGAUGCUGUUGUUGGCUACAGACUGAAAUGUCAUCUGGGUUUGGAAUCCUCCAGCUUAUGAUUUCAUCUUUGCAAAUGCUGAUU